RNAcentral lists this long non-coding RNA (4621 nucleotides) under Salmo salar (Atlantic salmon). RNAcentral describes it as "lncRNA (ENSSSAG00000104375.1)". Lineage: Eukaryota; Metazoa; Chordata; Actinopteri; Salmoniformes; Salmonidae. The record is from RNAcentral.
UGCAUCUCUUCCUUUAAGGCUCUGAUAUUGGUUGCCUUUGUGUCAAGUGAGAUUUUUCCUGACUGGAGAAUCACAUUCCAGAUCUCAAUGCAUUGCAGUACCAGCAACUAUGCCAACUGACAUGUCAUUCAACACAAUGCUGCUCACCUCCUUCUACAGUUAGGAGUAGGGCUGGUUCAGGGGUAUGGGGAUGGCUACACAGGGCUGCUGAGCCUGACACUGCAUCUGUUGGGCCUGGCACCAGGCAGGGGCAGCAACAACUAAUUUAGUAUGAAUAGCUUGCUAAAAGUUUGCCUGCAUUUAUUAAAUGUUGGCUAAAAGAGGAGCGAAAUGUACACUCAGAAUGUUCUGUGAAGAUAUUAAGUAACUAAUGUUAGGAGAGCAAAAGUUGCCUAUUUCACUAUGGAUUAAGCUAACAGGUUAAUUUCCACCACUCAAGGACUACACCCACCUUCCUUUGUGAAAAAUUGGGUGACAUACAGUCGCCCUUUCUUUUCUCUCUCCUGUCCUUCUUUUCUUUCUUUUAGUUUUUGGAAGCCAGAUUUUUCUUUAGGAAGCUGCGACAUGAUGCUCCGGCACUUCUCACUCGCAAUUCACUGCUAGGGGGGGUUGGGCAAUACAGAGGCUCUCUGCAUGUUUACUUUUUGUCCUAAACAGGAAAAGAUAAAGAACCGUUAGAUGUAUUAGUACAUUGUAAAUCAAUUAUUAUAAUAAUGAUGAUAGGUUAAUGAUUUAAUAUUGAAAAAAAUGUACCUAAUGUUCUAAUAAUUUCUUAUUAGGCCGUUAGAAUCGUCCUAACUUUUCCCCCCCAUAUGGCGCCCCUGCCAACAAUAUACAUAAGUAGAUCCGAUACUGGUUGAUCCUGCGACACGGCUACAGUACACACUUUUAAAUACACCAAAACAAACUGGGUAUCAACGAGCUUUCAAGCUGAGGUUUGAACAAUUACUCUCUCGCGACACUGUCACAACCCACUUCUGCGCAGCUGAUGCUGGCUAUUUAAUAGGGAAUUAAAGGGGAAGCGCCCCAUCGGCAGGAGAAACACUGAGACGGUUCAGACAAAUUCAAUGCUGUCACAACGCGUCGGUUUUGUUGCGAAACAACCAACCUGCCUAAAACAAAAGAUAAUUUAGCUUACCAGUCUCAACGUCACUGUUGACGUUGAGACUGGUGUUUUGCAGGUACUAUUUAAUGAAGCUGCAGUUGAGUACUUGUGAGGUGUUUGCGCAACGCAUAGGGUGUUUGCGUUUCACCCCAACGACCAGGGUUCCCGUUCCUGUCUCUCCGUUCACUACAGUAUUGUAACUCUGCACUAUUACAUAAUGAUAGAUAAGUGCUAUUUGCGUAGGAAAAUAUAAUGCUCCAUUGUUUAUACUUUUGUUGCUGACCCGGUUUAUGAGGGCCUGCAGAAGUUAAUGUAUGUGACUAUAAUAACAUUAUACUACUGUAAUUACUUCAUAUAGGAUGUGUAACCAUCCCUGGAAAACAAAAUGCUCAAUACGGAAAGGAUCAAUGUUAAGUCAGUUCACAUAAUGGACUAAAUGAACGGAUGGGAUUCAUCUUCCGCUUCUCCCAAGGCCUAUGACUCAAAUUGACAUGAAGCAGGAUGGAUUGGCUGGUAGUUCACAAAUAAAGAAGCUCAGAAAGGUGUGUAUGUGUACAAAGGCUUUGAGAAGAUUGAAGAAAUGGAACGCCUUCAAAUUUGGCGGACAUCACAGAAAUCGAUUAAAUUCGAUUGAUUUCUGCGACAUUUUUGGUUAUCGUUGAGUCCAAAUUCAGCCAUAAAAGAAAGUACAACUGGGUCUUUGGGAUGUUGGAGGUCAACAGAGGUAAUAGAUGACCCGAUUUGAAAAUGGUACCUUCAAGCUCACGCAGAGUACUGAUCCCGAUCAUUAGAAAACAACAUCAAAAGAGGAUCAACCAUCUACAGUGACUCGUGGAGAGCAUAUGUGCAGGCGCUGAAUCCACUAGGUUAUCAGCAUCACACUGUGAACCACAGGCAGAACUUUGUUGAUCCACAUUCGAGCAGCCACACACAGCACAUUGAACGCUCUUUGCAGAUGAUCAAAAAACAGGUCUGGAGACUAAAAGGGAAUCAAUCAGAGAAAAUGUUGAAGAACCAUUUGAAAUGUAUUGAAUGGACUUACUGGUUGGGCAAAAAACACAGGGGAGGCAUCUUCGGACAACUGAUCAACAACAUUAAGAAGAGAUAUAAAGUGUGACUGAAUUUUUUGGAGGGAGAAAAGCACAUAUUGGGCCCAUCUUCAAAUACCGUUGGAGGUGUGGAGAAGUAGAUCUGGAGAUAAUUUCACUUUUGUUCUGUUAUUGAUCUGUCAUUGUAUUUUGUGAUCACAGUAUUUUCAUUUGCCAUAGAAAAUAAAAAAAGCUUAAAAAAAUUAGAUUUAAAAAAAAAUAUUGUUAACUUUACAAAUUACAACAUUAAGAAAGAGAAACUUCUGGAGUAUCGCAAAAUAUGGUUUGGGUCCCUCAGUCCAGAGCUAUUAAAUUAAAAUAAAAGAAGAAGGCAAGGGGAAAGCUUUGGUCUAUAACACCAAAGAUUUGGUAGAUUAACCAUGUUCUGUUAAUUAGGCCAACAUGGUGUUUUGAAAUUUUCCAGUUUGAAUGUUUUUUGCAUCUCCUACAUCAUGAAGCCUAAUAUAUUGAAAAACUCUCUGAAAAAUCUGUUUUAAUUCUUAAAGAAGUGUUUUUCUUUUUCAGUUUAUACUUUUAUGGCAGUUUGCUGUGAGACUUGUGCCUUAGUAGAUCAUUGAAAAAUAUUUGCUUCCGUCGUUUUAUUUUUUUGUGAAAUGCUACCUCAGAUAACCAUUCUUAAAGAAGAAUGUCUGCACCACAUGUUUCGUUGUUCUUUUUCAGUUGAUACAUUUAUGGCAGUUUGCAGACACUUGUGCCUUCGUAGAUUAGUAAAAAAAAUAUUUUUACAAAAAUGUUAAAUUGUGAAAUGAUACCUCGGAUAACAAUGUUUAAGUAAACUAUUCAAAUGUUUUUACAUUACAAAUGUCCUCUCAGGAAAACUAUGGCAAUGUUAUCAUGUAAUAAAGCUGUUCCUAAGAGAUUAUCUUCCUCUUGCUGACUUUUUUAUGGUUGUUGCUAUAUCUGUCUUUUACAAUAGCGUACAGAAAUUAAGUGAAACUUCCAGAAGCUUUAAAAUGAGGGCCAGGAUGUCAGGAUGGGUAAUGUACAGUAUAAAUACACACUAAUUACAAGUAAGUAUUCGUCAAGAUAUACUUAAUUUUAACUAGCUAAAUCCUGUGUAACACCUAGUAAUUACAUUGUACUUACGCAGAUAUUACAUGUACUCUGUGGUGUACAAAUUUGUUUAGUCUCCCACUUAUAUAGUGCUUCUAGAAGCUUUAAUUCUGAGUUCCAGGUUGUUAGGAUGGGUAAUGUACUGUAUAAAUACACAUUAAUUACAGGUAACUACCCCUCAUGAGACACUUCAUUUUAACAAGCUAAAUCCAGUGUAACAGCUAGUGAUUACAUUGUACUUAGGCAAAUAUUACAUGUACUACGCUUUGAAAUAAUGUAUUUUUCCACAUCUGGGUUGACACCUAUAUUAGAUCCCAGUCAGUGAGGCUGACCUACUGAUCUGUUUUUACCAGCUUAACCAAGUUACCCCUGAUGGUAUACUUUAUUUUGAGGGCAAGUGCUAGCAACAACACUGAGUGCACAUUCAAGGGUAAGUAAUUAGAGCCUAUUGAGUAUAGGCUAUAAUCUCUAAGACACCCAUCACAUCCAUGAGGGAUCACAACCUUUGUGACAUUUGUUACUGUAUGCAGCUGAGAAGAAGCGAAACACUAAGUUAGUGAAUUUAGUGGAAACCUGCCCAUGUGUAACAACCAUGGUAACAAUAAUAAUUUGUUACACUGCUGUAAUUACAGUGCCUUCGGAAAGUAUUCAGACCCCUUGACUUUUUCCACAUUUUGUUAUGUUACAGCCUCAUUCUAAAAUUGAUGAAAUAAAAAAUGUCCCUCGUCAAUCUACACACAAUACUCCAUAAUGGCAAUGUGAAAACAGCUUGUUAGAAUUUUUUUAAAUGUAUUACAAACAAAAAUACCUUAUUUACAUAAGUACUCAGACCCUGUGCUAUGAGAAUCGAAUUUGAGCUCCGGUGCAUUCUGUUUCCAUUGAUCAUCCUUGAGAUGUUGCUACAACUUCAUUGGAAUCUAGCUGUGGUUAAUUCAAUUCAUUGGACAUGAUUUUGAAAGGCACACACCUGUUUAUAUAAGGUCCCACAGUUCACAGUGCAUGUAAAAGCAAAAACCAAGCAGUGAGGUCGAAGGAAUUGUCCACAGAGCUCCGAGACAGAAUUGUGUCGAGGCACAGAUCUGGGGAAGGGUACCAAAAAAUGUCUGCAGCAUUGAAGGUCAACCAAGAACACAGUGGCCUCCAUUUUAAAUGGAAGAUGUUUGGAACCACCAAGACUCUUCCUGGAGCUGGCCAUACUGAGCAAUCAGGGGAGAAGGGCAUUGGUGAGGGAGGUGACCAAGAACUAGAGGUCGACCGAUUAAUCGGAAUGGCCGAUUAAUUAGGGCCGAUUUCAAGUUUUCAUAACAAUCGGAAAUCGGUAUUUUUGGAGGCCGAUUUGGCCGAUUUAUUUUUU